CACGUAGGGGGCUAGCGUUGUCCGGAAUCAUUGGGCGUAAAGCGCGUGUAGGCGGUCCGGUAAGUCCGCUGUGAAAGCCAGGGGCUCAACCCUUGGAUGCCGGUGGAUACUGUCGGGCUUGAGUACGGAAGAGGCGAGUGGAAUUCCUGGUGUAGCGGUGAAAUGCGCAGAUAUCAGGAGGAACACCAAUUGCGAAGGCAGCUCGCUGGGACGUUACUGACGCUGAGACGCGAAAGCGUGGGGAGCAAACAGG
RNAcentral lists this ribosomal RNA (253 nucleotides) under uncultured bacterium. RNAcentral's name for it is "partial 16S ribosomal RNA". It matches the Rfam family "Bacterial small subunit ribosomal RNA", at positions 524 to 776 of the family's 1533-position model. The record is from RNAcentral.